AUUGAACGCUGGCGGCAGGCCUAACACAUGCAAGUCGAGCGGCAGCGGGAAAGUAGCUUGCUACUUUUGCCGGCGAGCGGCGGACGGGUGAGUAAUGCCUGGGAAAUUGCCCAGUCGAGGGGGAUAACAGUUGGAAACGACUGCUAAUACCGCAAAGGCCCUCCGGGGUAAAGCAGGGGACCUCCGGGCCUUGCGCGAUUGGAAAUGCCCGGGUGGGAUUAGCUAGUUGGUGAGGUAGUGGCCCACCAAGGCGACGAUCCCUAGCUGGUCUGAGAGGAUGAUCAGCCACACUGGAACUGAGACACGGUCCAGACUCCUACGGGAGGCAGCAGUGGGGAAUAUUGCACAAUGGGGGAAACCCUGAUGCAGCCAUGCCGCGUGUGUGAAGAAGGCCUUCGGGUUGUAAAGCACUUUCAGCGAGGAGGAAAGGUUGAUGCCUAAUACGUAUCAACUGUGACGUUACUCGCAGAAGAAGCACCGGCUAACUCCGUGCCAGCAGCCGCAGUAA
Molecule: ribosomal RNA, 508 nt
Filed under: uncultured bacterium
Lineage: Bacteria
Description: partial 16S ribosomal RNA
Rfam family: Bacterial small subunit ribosomal RNA
Source: RNAcentral